Molecule: Y RNA, 99 nt
Filed under: Prolemur simus (greater bamboo lemur)
Lineage: Eukaryota; Metazoa; Chordata; Mammalia; Primates; Lemuridae
Description: Y RNA (ENSPSMG00000013430.1)
Rfam family: Y RNA
About the family: Y RNAs are components of the Ro ribonucleoprotein particle (Ro RNP), in association with Ro60 and La proteins.
Source: Rfam by way of RNAcentral
GGCUGGUCCAAGUGCAGUGGUGUUUACAACUAAUUGAUCACAACCAGGGACAGAUUGUUUGGUUCCCUCUCCACUCCCAUUUCACUUGACUAGCCUUAA